RNAcentral lists this ribosomal RNA (584 nucleotides) under uncultured organism. RNAcentral's name for it is "bacterial SSU rRNA". It matches the Rfam family "Bacterial small subunit ribosomal RNA", at positions 825 to 1402 of the family's 1533-position model. The record is from RNAcentral.
AGAGUCCUCCAUAGCUUUCCGGUCUCAGUGAAACUGAUAACUGCUCCCGCUUGGGGAGUAUGUUCGCAAGCCUGAUACUCAAAGGAAUUGACGCGUGCUCACACAACCGCUGGAGGAUGUGGCGUAAUUCGAGGCUACGCGUAGAACCUUAUCCUGGGCUUGACAUGCACGGAUUAACCUCGUGAAAGCGAGGCGACGCCUUCGGGUGGUACGUGCACAGGUGCUGCAUGGCUGUCGUCAGCUCGUGUCGUGAGAUGUCGGGUUAAGUCCCUUAACGAGCGAAACCCUUGUCACUAGUUGCCACCGGGUAAUGCCGCGGACUCUAGUGAGACUGCCCGUGUUAAACCGGAGCAACCUCGGACUCACGUCAAGUCCUCAUGGCCUUUAUGUCCAGGGCUGCACACGUCCUACAAUGGCGCGUACAAAGGGAAGCGAACUCGCGAGAGCAAGCAAAUCCCACAAAGCGCGCCCCAGUUCGGAUUGCAGGCUGCAACUCGCAUGCAUGAAGCCGGAAUCGCUAGUAAUCGCAGGUCAGCAUCCUCCGCUGAAUAUGUUCCUGAGCAUUGACACACCGCCCGUCAAGC